Long non-coding RNA from Gorilla gorilla gorilla (western lowland gorilla), 8525 nucleotides. RefSeq lists it as uncharacterized. NCBI's taxonomy places the organism in Eukaryota, Metazoa, Chordata, Mammalia, Primates, Hominidae. The transcript has 9 exons. The record is from RefSeq and is a predicted model, not a curated record.
UUAUUUUAAAUGUGAUGAGAUGCUAUUGAAGGAUUUUAGCAGGAGAGCAACAUAAUUUGGUUUAUAUUUUGACAGAGUCACUUUGGCUGCUGUACGGAAAAACAGAAGCAGGAAGCCCAGAUAAGAAACUGAGUAGCCAGUCACGAAAUGGUGGUGUUAUGGAUCAGGGUGGUAACGGUGGAGGCGGUGAAAAUGAGAGAAGCUGCAGCCUGUUGAGACUCCACAAGAUUGAAGAUAUGAAAAGAGGAAAUAUGCAUGAAUGCCCGCAUGGAGAACCACCCCCACCUGCUGCUGCCGCUCUAAUGAUCACGCCCAUUAUCAACUGAGGGAUGGCUCUGUGCCUUGUCCUUGCAUUACGUGGACCAAGAACACUUCACAGGACUCAGAGAGGCCUCAAUCUUAUUCUCAGAACCGAUGUCACAACAUCGUACAAAGCCCUCAUGAGCAUAUUUGCCUUCCAAGGCAAAAGUAGAUACAAAAGAAGAAGGAAUUACAGAAGAAGUCACAUAACAUUAUUGCCUACAACUGACUGUUUACCUUGAAUACUUGAAGACCAGAAUGAAGAUUCUUAGGGUGAAGAAUUACAGCCUUAGCAUGGAGCAGGCCUCGGUGCAUCGGCUUUCAGCUAGGCAUGCCUGCCAAUGUUCUCACUGCAUCAGCUUUCAGCUGGGCAUGCCUGCCAAUGUUCAACGUCCUCCGGGGAUACGGAAGGCACCAUGAUAGACAUCUGGGCAAGUCAACAGGAAGGUGGAUAUCCAAAUCUCUCUCUUCGCAAUGAGAGUUUCCAGUUAGGUGGAGGAGAGAGUAAUAAAACGCAGAGCUGAGAUUCCUGACUUCACAGAUCCCUGAGGAGAUGUUUACUAAAGGGAAUCUUCUGGCCACUGUUACCUUCCUCCGUACUUACCUGCCUCAUGGAUAACACUGAAGAAUGCAGUUUACUUACAUGUUUUUCUGUUUGACAGAAGACAGUUAUUAGUUACCCUUGGGUCAUCAAAAUGACCAAGGCAGUGUCUGCUAAGUAUUUGCUGAGACUCUGGUAUGAUUCUUUCAAGUCUCAAGACAGUUAUCUGAACGAUAUCCCCGUGACAGUGGACUCCUGCACAUUCACAGUCCUGGAAGGAGCCUGUCCACACUGGCAUUCCGGAAGUCCAUAAAAGACAAACGCAUAUGCAGUCCCCGAGAAAGCAUCGUUGUAAACAAAUCUGCACUAGAUGGAAACUCUGUUAUGUGGUGCCGGCACACAUGGAAGAGACCCCGAAAGGAAGAAGCCUAUACGACUGGGGACACAUGUCUUAGAAGCACACCCAUUAGAUAAAGUGUCGCAUACUCUUUGAUAAGAAACUCCAGGCUGUCACCCAUCUGUUCUCUUAUCAAAGUAGUUUUGGGCCAGCAACUAUUUCAGACAUUUCUACAGUUUCAGAUGUCUCACUCUGCCUAUGACUGUAUGUUGUACUUGAGGACUGGACGCACAGAGUAAAGUGCAAAUAGCAAGCAUUCAGGUCCAACUCUCCUCCCUGUGGUUAACAAUAUAAAGAAAGAGGUAGUAUCGGAAUUAUUUUAGUUUGAUGUAGCCAUUAUAAAAUGUGUAUAUAUUUUAAAACAUCAUGUGGUACAUGAUAAAUAUAUACAACUUUUAUUUUUCAAUAAAAAAAUUAUAAAAAAAGUCGUCAAACCUGAUUUCUCCUACUACUUUUUGGUAACACUCAUCACACCAAAGACUUAUUAUUUUAAAAUGUUAUUUUUCAUAAUUAAUUUCUUAUUAAUUUUAUAGGCUAGAUUUUAAUUGUUGUGUCUAAAUAGUAGUGUCUGGUACAUGGUAGAUAAUCAGUGUGACAAAUAAAUGAAUAAGUCUGUUAACGACAUACUUCUCAUCACUGUAACUUAUUUUUGGUUUAUGACUGAUAAAACAUUUUUUCUCUAAAGAUCAAAUCCUUCUUUAAGAUGCUACCAUUGUUCCAUUCAUCAACGCCAAAUCAUUCCUUGGGCCUGAGAGGAGCUGCCAUCCUUCACUUCGUCUUUGGGUCACUUCCAACCUCUGUUCUCUGUGUGUCUCAUCUGGACUUCCUGGGAGAAUAGCCUCUCUCAUGAUACUCACUUUCUUCCACAUCUUCAAUCUCUGCUUCAUUGACAGAUUAUGCUACUCAAUAUAGAAACAACAUCUUUUUUAUUUUUUAAUGAUAAACAUUCUCCCCCUCAAUCUUUUAACCUACUAAUGCGGGCAAUCUAAUCUAAAGAAUAGCCUGCAAUGCCUCCUUUCAUCAUUUCCCGUUUAAUCCAGCUUUCUGGCUGAGUAAUUCUGCAGAAAGCCCUUUCUCCCAUGUCACAGAUGGAACUUUGCAGUGGCCUAUUCUGAUGAACAUGUGGCAGUUUACAUGCUAUUUGCAUUUGAAGCUGUUUAUCACUCCCUCCUUCUGAGUACUUUCUUCUUGGUGGGCUUUUAUGAUAGUAAUUGCUAUCCUACUGCUGUGUUUCUGACCACUGCUUGUCAGACACUUUAUUAUGCUCCCUUUCCUUUGUCCAUACUUGCAAAGUUAGAUUUCCACAUAUGCCUUUCCCGUCUUCUUAUUCCAUGAGAUUUAUCUAAGUGAUUUCAUCCAUUGCUAUGGGUUCAACUACCGCUAAUAUGUUCUUUACUCCCAACUCCCUUUCUACAGCUUCACAUAUUUAACUGCCUUUUAGGGAAUCACCAAAAGGCAAUUCCAUCUUAACAUACACAAAACUGAACUUAUGAUCCUUAAGUAUGAGGCCAGUUCUUUCUUAUGCAUUUUCUAAAUCAGUGAGUGAUACCAUCUCUUGUCCUGUUGUCCUGGGCAGAAUUGCAGGAGGUGACUGCUUUCUCUACCCUCCCUAUAAAAAUUACCAUCUCUCGUUUACCAACCUCCUGAUACCCCAAUCAUUAGUAUCUUUUUAAGAAAUGAUUUUCUGUUGUUUAACAUUUUUUAUAUGCUAUUACCUAUAUGGUUUUCCUCCUGAAAUGGGAUAUUGGGUAAGAGGGUACCAGAUGGAGGUCACAUAGACCUACAGUUUAUUCAAAGGGGACAUCUAUGGAGCAAAGGCAAAAUGGAGAACCCAGUGCAGCCAAACAGCUACUCAAAGGUCUGAGCGGAGAUACAGAAAUGACACAGGAGAUAACAGAAAGAGAGAGACAUAUCAGGUGGGUUUUGAGUGUAGGCAAAACCACAUUUACCCGUAGCUCUGGAGAACCCACUGGCACUGUUUUGAGACUGUUGCAGCCUGCAAGGGAGGGCGGACACUGAGUUCAGACACGCACACCCUCCGACCAGCUCCCAAAUGUCUGCUGAUGUUUACAACUUUGCUUCCUGCUUUCCUACCUGGUCUUAGCCUUUUGAUACACACCCUCCCACUGCUAUCAGAGUAAGAUUUGAGCUACGUACAUAAUCUGGCCCUGCCAGAUUAUGACAUUAGUUGGAGAAUAGAUAGGUCAAUGGGACCUGAGAUACAUUUUAGAAAAAUAUUAAUAUGUAUGCCAUAUGUAUAGUGUGCAGCUGGCAUUUUAAACACGUGGAAAAUGAUGAAAAAUUUAAUAAACCACGAGAGGAAAUUGGAUAAAUAUUUCCGAUACAUACACACAUCAGAUUCCCUUUUUUAUGUCACAUGCAAAACUAAAAUAAUAUUUGAAUGGCUUAAUCAGUGAAAUAUUUUCCUAAAUUAACUAACAUACCAGAAAAUAUUUGACUUAUCUUAAACCAAAUAUGUAUUUUUAUUGUACAGGGUUUUUUCUUUUUUAAAAAAUUUCAGCUUGCAAUUUAGAUAUAGGAGGUACAUGGGCAGAUUUGUUACAGUGGACUAUUGCAUGAUGCUGUGGUUUGAAGUACGGUUCCCAUCACCCUGGUAGUGAGCAUAGUUCCUGAUAGGUGGUCUUUUUUAACCUAACCUCCCUCCCUCCCUCCCUCCACCGUCUAGUAGUCCACAGUGUCUAUUGUGUCUCAUAUUUAUGUCCAUACGUGCUCAAUGCUUAGCUUCCAUUUAUAAGUGAGAACAUGUGGUAUUUGGUUUUCUGUUUCUGCAUUCAUUUGCUUAGAUCGCCCCAGCUCCAUCUAUGUUGCUGCAAAGAAUAUGAUUUUAUUCUUUUUUAUGGCGUAUAGUAUUUCAUGGUGUAUAUGUACCACAUUUUCUUUGUCCAGUUUCCUACUGAUGGUCGCCUGUGUGGAUUCCAUGUCUUUGCUAUUGUGAAUAGUGAUGCAGUGGACAUCUGAGUGUAAAUGUGUUUUUGGCAGAAUGAUUUAUUUUCUUUUGAGUGUAUAACCAGUAAUGGGAUUGCUGGGUCAAAUGGUAGCUUUGUUUUAAGUUUUGAGAAAUCUCCAGACUGCUUCCUCAGUGGAUUGGUCUAAUUUACAUUCCCACUAACAGUGUAUAAGCUCUCCCUUUUCUCUGCAAUGUUGCCAGCAUCUGUUUUUUUGACUUUUUAUAAUAGCCAUUCUGACUGGUAUGAGAUGGUAUCUCAUUGUGGUUUUGAUUUCGAUUUCUCUGAUGAUUAGCAAUGCUGAGCAUUUUUUCACACAUUUGAUGUAUGUCUUCUUUGAGAAAUGUCUGUUCAUGUCUUUGCCCAUCUUUUAAUGGGGUUAAUUGGGUUUUGUUUGUUCAACUGUUUAAGUUCCCUAUAGAUUCUGGAUAUUAGGCCUUUGUCAGGUGCAUACUUUGCAAAUAUCUCCUCCCAUUCCCUAGACUGUCUGUUUACUGUGCUGAUUUUUACUCUCUGUUUAUUUUGCUAUGUAAAAGUUCUGGAGUUUAAUUAGGUCCCACUUGUCCCGUUUUUGUUUUUGUUGCAAGUGCUUUUGGGGACUUAGCUAAAAAUUAUUUGCCAAGGCUGAUGUCCAGAAGAAUGUUUCCUAGGUUGCCUUCCAGAAUUUUUAUAGUUUGAGGUCUUACAUUUAAAUCUUUAAUGUAUUUUCAGUUAAUUUUUGUAUGAGGUGAAACGGAGGGGUCUGGUUUCAUUCUGCUACAUAUGGCUAGCCAGUUAUCCCAGAUGUGUUGAUUGAAUAGGGAGUUCUUUCCCAUUGCUUGUUUUUGUUGGCCUUGUCAAAGAUCAGAUGGUUGUUUGCAUGUAGCUUUAUUUGUUUGUUUUCUAUUCUUUUGCAUUGGUCUAUGUGUCUGUUUCUGUAACAGCACCAUGCUGUUUUGGUUACUGUGGCUUUAUAGUAUAGUAUGAGGUUGGAAAGAGUGAUGCCUCUGGCAUUGUUCUUUUUGCUUAGGCUUUCUUUGGCUGUUCAGGCUCUUUUUGGUUCAAUACAAAUUUUAGAGUAGUUUUCUAAUUUUAGUAAAUUUUCUAAAGUAAAUGUUCUAAUUCUGUGAAGAAUGACAUUGGUAAUUUGAUAGGUAUAGCAUUGAAUCUGUAAAGUGCUUUGAGCAAUACGGCCAUUUUUACAAUAGUGGUUUUGGUACUGAAACACCAGGUACUCAGUCUAGGUCCUGCUGCUUGCUGCACAGAAAGCCAAUGACUGAGACAGCAAGUAUUGCCAAGGAAGCUUUAAUCCAGUGCUGCAGCAGAGGAGAUGGGAACUCAGUCUCAAAUCCAUCUCUCUGACCUACUAAAACCAGGGGUUUAUAUAACAAGGAAGGAAUGUAACAUUGUGUAAGAAAACAGGAACUAGGGAGGUGUCAGGAAGCAAUCGCGAUGAAUGAGGGGUCCAACAUCUCAUUGUCUGGAUGUGAUGAUCUGCUGAGUUUCAGUUCUUUGACACUUUUUGUGAGAGGCCUGAAGGUCAUUUCCUCAGGAAGGAACUCAGAUAAAACAAAUGUAAGUUUCAAGCUUUAAGACCAGAAGGGUCAAUUUCUAUGUUUAUUAAAAAGAAAAAAACAGUUAGACUGGGCGCGGUGGCUCACGCCUGUAAUCCCAGCACUUUGGGAGGCUGAGGCGGGCAGAUCACGAGGUCAAGAGAUCGAGACCAUCCUGGCCAACAUGGUGAAGCAUCAUGUCUACUAAAAAUACAAAAAUUAGCCAGGCAUGGUGGCACACGCCUGUAAUCCCAGCUACUUGGGAGGCUGAGGCAGGAGAAUGGCUUGAACCUGGGAGGCGGAGGGUGCAGUGAACUGAGAUUGCACCACUGCACUCCAGCCUGGUGACAGAGCGAUACUCCAUCUCAAAAGCAAAAAACAAAAACCAAAAAAAACAAAAAAAACGAACACCAGAAUAAAACUGUCUGUGGAACAAUUGGGUCAGCUUUAGUUUUUCCAAUCCUUGAGCAUGGGAUAUUUUUCCACUUAUUUGUGUCGUCUCAUCUCUUAUUUCUUUCAGCAGUGUUUUGUGCUUCUCAUAGAGAUCGUUCAUCUCCUUGGUUAGCUGUAUGCCUAUAGGUAUUUCAUUUUCUUUGUGGCUAUUGUAAGUGGGACUGUGUUCUUGAUUUCACUCUCAGCCUGGAUGCUGUUGGUGAAAUAUGUAUUUUUAAAAAAGAAAAGCAAAAAAAAAAAAUAGAUAGACUUGACUAAACAAACAUUAUUAUAAACAAGAAUGAGUGUCAAUAUUCUUUUCCAUAAGGUACUCUUACAAAUCAGUAUAAAGAAUUAUAAUUUCUCUAUUUAAAAAAGGAGAUAGGAUUGCCAAUUCACAAAUUGUAUAUAAGUGGCCUAUGAAUGCAAAAACCUCAAUUGCAUAAGUAAUAAAAAAGUCUAAAUAAAGUGAUAUUACAAAUUGUAUAUAAGUGGCCUAUAAAUGCAAAAACCUUAAUUGCAUAAGUAAUAAAAAAGUCUAAAUAAAGUGAUAUUAUUUUCUACUGAUACAAUUGAUGGGGAGAAAAACCAAAAUAAAGUGAACAGAAGAAAAUGGGGAAAAAGGGAGCCUCUUAGACUGCUAGUGGGAGGGUAACUUUGUAUAAACUAUUAGAAUACAAUUUGUCAAUCUGUGUUACAAUCAAAUUGUUCAUUCACUUUGUAACAACAGUUCUAUUUCUAGGAAAUAAUUAUAGAUGGCAAGUAUUUCUAUAUAAAGCUUUUCAGUACAAUGUUAAAUAUGAUAAAAUUGGGGAUACUCAAGUGGUCACUAAUAGGAGCAUGACUAAAUAAACUUUGGUAGUGACAGUAAAUAGAAUACCAUGCAUCUAUUAGAAAUGCCUUUUAGAAAAUAAAGUCAAUGGCAUGGGGAUACGGACAUAAUUUGUAAAGCAGUAUAACUCAAAUUUGUAGAAAGAAAUUGCAGGACAAAGACUGGUACUGAUUCAAAAUGGUGCCUGGCUACGAUGGGCCUUUGUCCCCAGAAUUAAGCCUGGAGAAUUGUCCUCGAAGUAAAGCAGGUGCUCUACGUGUAGAAAGCUCGUGGUGCGGAUGUUGGACUCUGAGAGAAGGCUGAGCACAGCCUUGGGUAAUGCAGAACUUCCUCAAAAGGCAAGGAGGCAAAAAUAAAACAUGUGAAGAGCAACUCUCUUUGAAGAGGAAAUGCACUCAAGCCCUUGGGCCACAGAGAAAAGUGCUCCUGAAACUGGAAACCCUAUGGACUCCCAGCCUCCAGCCUGCCUGCUCUUCAGUCAGUCACCCUACAGGCGACACCCCCUGCACUCCCCACUCUCAUUUUCAGAGAGCUGCUGCCGGGACCCUCAUUCUGGGAAUGGACUAUGAGGAAGGAGACCUACAUAGUUGUCAAGGAAACCUAUGCCAGUUACAUAUGCCAUACAUUUUAAUCGCUUAGUUAUCAAUGUGACAGGUAGGCAGAAAACACCAAAUGCUUGAGGAAAACCAGGGGUAUGAAAGAGAAGCAUUAAGAUUACUUUUUAAUGGAAAUGUAUAUAUUCACCUAGGCUAUUCUUCCUUACCCAAGUUGAAACUGAAUAGUAUGACCUAAACGUACAUUUCGUGUGCUGGGAAGAAAAAGCAACUGAUAACCCCCUUUCCCGUAGGUUUCCUGUCAUUAAUUUGCUCACCAGUGCAACCCCAUUCAGGCCCCCAAGCUAGUGCCAUCUUGUGUGCACAAGGCUGGGGCAAUUGGAUUCAUAAGAAGUUUUUUCCAUGAGGAAUUUUCAGUCUAAUGUCAAGUAAUUGACAAUGAAAAUGUUUCCUGGUUUCCAUCCAAAUAUUUAUUAAUACAGCAAAAAUGUAGGAUUUGUAGGAUUUAUAUAUCUUCCAACUAUCUCCACUACUGCAGGACACACACACCAUCUAUAAAUCUCACAUUGUAACCACUAACACUUAUCUUUGUUACUGUCACCUGGAAUCUUUUAUGCCAAAAUAAGAGUCUUAAAAGAAUGAAGCCCUGCAAUUUCACUGUCCAACAACAGAGGUUUUACCUGAUAAAUCGUCUUCUUGUCUGACAGAGUGGGCCACAGAAACAUCUCUGACAGCUGUUGCAUGAUGGAGUGGGAGCAAGGUCACUUCCUGCAAAUGUUAGGGUUCUUCAGAAUCCUUCAGGCGUUGGAGGAAUAAUUGAACUCAACAGGCAAUCAGUCACGUCUGAAACAUGUGAAAUAUACCUAAGGACCCGAGGUCAGGGUUGAGUGUCCAAAUUCAACCAGUUAUUCACACGGUCUGAAAAUGAAAAUGUUUCAUUUCAGAGAAGUUUAUAUGGAGUCCUUGACAGA